This 433-nucleotide unclassified non-coding RNA is filed under the name Hevea brasiliensis (rubber tree). The record is from RNAcentral. Lineage: Eukaryota; Viridiplantae; Streptophyta; Magnoliopsida; Malpighiales; Euphorbiaceae.
GGCAGAUUUUGGCAACUAAAUCCUCCAAAAUCAGAAACGAAAGAGGUAGGAAUAUUUCUUUGAACACCGGUGGUGGUGGUAGGCACAAAGGGCUUGUAAGAAUUUUGCAAUUCUUGCCAUCCAUUGUAUAUAGGCUGUUCAAGAUUGGGAAAAGAGAAAGGGUCUUCAUCUUCAAAAGUCAAAGAGGCCAGACAAUCCAAAUCGUUCUCACCAACUUUGGCAUUUUGACCGGCGCACGCAUCGGUGUUUGAAGUGGCUGCUGCUGCUGCAGUGUUUGUGGCAGAGCUAGAGCUAGUGUAACUCUUAACUAUGGCGUACAGAUCCCAGUCAGCCAUUGAGCAGCCAAUCUACCUAGAAAUUAUAACCAAUCUAUCUAUUUCUUACAGCUCUUUGAGCAAAUGGGCUAAGGAAAAGAUUGAAUACAGAGGACGGC